AUGAACAAGUGUAUCUGGACUAUUCUGAGGACAAAAGCAACUAUAAUCCUCCAUUUAUUCAUAUUCUGAUUGGGAGCACACUUGAUAUUUGAUGACAGGAAGUGAUCGCAAAUUAACCAAUGUGAAGUGCAGAUGGCCUGCUAUAUUUAUGUAGAGACUGUGGCAGUGAGCAAAUUCAGUUCUAAGCAAAAUGAUAUCUAAUAUGGUGAUUUAUGCAAAACCGAGUUGGCUCAACACUAUUAAAAUGACUGAAAGCAUGAGGGCAGCAAUGAACAUGUUAUGUGAAUGAACUCUCCAGUACCACUGAAAGGUGCACUCCAUUUCUGAUGAGGGAGGACCCACAGCUGAAGCCUCCAAAUAAAAAAUGCAAAAACUCAUUCAUUCAAGCCCUAUGCACCACCUCAGCC
Long non-coding RNA from Xyrauchen texanus (razorback sucker), 407 nucleotides. RefSeq lists it as uncharacterized. The transcript is spliced from 3 exons. The record is from RefSeq and is a predicted model, not a curated record. NCBI's taxonomy places the organism in Eukaryota, Metazoa, Chordata, Actinopteri, Cypriniformes, Catostomidae.